RNAcentral lists this unclassified non-coding RNA (60 nucleotides) under synthetic construct. The record is from RNAcentral.
CGCGUGAACCUUGUUAUUCACGUCCAGAUGACGCUAGGAGGUAUAGGGCAAGCAAUCAUU